Molecule: ribosomal RNA, 433 nt
Filed under: uncultured bacterium
Lineage: Bacteria
Description: partial 16S ribosomal RNA
Rfam family: Bacterial small subunit ribosomal RNA
Source: RNAcentral
AACGAACGCUGGCGGCAUGCCUAACACAUGCAAGUCGAACGAAGGCUUCGGCCUUAGUGGCGCACGGGUGCGUAACGCGUGGGAAUCUGCCCUUAGGUUCGGAAUAACAGUUAGAAAUGACUGCUAAUACCGGAUGAUGACGUAAGUCCAAAGAUUUAUCGCCUGAGGAUGAGCCCGCGUAGGAUUAGCUAGUUGGUGUGGUAAAGGCGCACCAAGGCGACGAUCCUUAGCUGGUCUGAGAGGAUGAUCAGCCACACUGGGACUGAGACACGGCCCAGACUCCUACGGGAGGAAGCAGUGGGGAAUAUUGGACGAUGGGCGCAAGCCUGAUCCCGCAAUGCCGCGUGAGUGAUGAAGGCCUUAGGGUUGUAAAGCUCUUUUACCCGUGAUGAUAAUGACAGUAGCGGGAGAAUAAGCCCCGGCUAACUCCGUG